RNAcentral lists this ribosomal RNA (1721 nucleotides) under human gut metagenome. RNAcentral's name for it is "bacterial LSU rRNA". It matches the Rfam family "Bacterial large subunit ribosomal RNA", at positions 1116 to 2925 of the family's 2925-position model. The record is from RNAcentral.
CCACUCAUUAAAAGAGUGCGUAAUAGCUCACUGGUCGAGUGACUCUGCGCCGAAAAUUUAACGGGGCUAAACUAUACACCGAAGCUUGGGAUACAUCUAAUGUAUGGUAGGAGAGCGUUCUGUAUGGGGUGAAGUCGUAGCGAAAGCGGCGGUGGACUGUACAGAAGUGAGAAUGCCGGAAUAAGUAGCGAGAAUUAAGUGAGAAUCUUAAUGGCCGAAAGUCUAAGGUUUUUGGAGGAAGGUUCGUCCGCUCCAAGUAAGUCGGGAGCUAAGGUCAGGCCGAAAGGCGUAGCCGAUGCACAUACGGUUGAUAUUCCGUAACCAUCUGUAAUUUAAGCAAAGGGACACUUCAAAAGGGUGUGACCCGGGCGUUGGUUGACCCGGGCGUAAGGGACCGAAAUUAGAGUAGGGAAGCACACUUGGCUGAAGGCGAGAAAAGCUUUGCGUAUAGAAGCAGAUGCCCGUACCGCAAACCGACACAGGUGGACAGGAAGAGAAUUCUAAGGCCAGCGGGAGAAGGGUAGUUAAGGAACUCGGCAAAUUGACUCCGUAACUUCGGAAUAAGGAGUGCUCGAAAGAGCCGCAGAGAAUAGGCCCAGGCGACUGUUUAGCAAAAACACAGGUCUCUGCCAAAUCGAAAGAUGAAGUAUAGGGGCUGACACCUGCCCGGUGCCGGAAGGUUAAGAGGAGGAGUGAGAGCUCCGAAUUGAAGCCCCGGUAAACGGCGGCCGUAACUAUAACGGUCCUAAGGUAGCGAAAUUCCUUGUCGGGUAAGUUCCGACCCGCACGAAUGGUGUAACGAUCUGGGCACUGUCUCAACUACCCACCCGGCGAAAUUGUAGUACCGGUGAAGAUGCCGGUUACCUGCGGCAAGACGGAAAGACCCCAUGGAGCUUUACUGUAGCCUGAUAUUGGGUUUCGGAAAUCUAUGUACAGGAUAGGCGGGAGACUGGGAAACAUGAGCGUCAGCUUGUGUGGAGUCGAUGUUGGGAUACCGCCCUUAGGUUUCUGGAAUUCUAACCUGCGGCCGUGAAUCCGGUCGGGGGACAUUGUCAGGUGGGCAGUUUGACUGGGGCGGUCGCCUCCGAAAAGGUAACGGAGGCGCUCAAAGGUUAGCUCAGCACGGACGGAAACCGUGCCUCUGAGUGUAAACGCAAAAGCUAGCCUAACUGCGAGGGUGACGGCCCGAGCAGUAACGAAAGUUGGAGUUAGUGAUCCGGCGGUAUGUGAAUGGAAAUGCCGUCGCUCAACGGAUAAAAGCUACCCUGGGGAUAACAGGCUGAUCUCCCCCAAGAGUCCACAUCGACGGGGAGGUUUGGCACCUCGAUGUCGGCUCAUCACAUCCUGGGGCUGUAUUCGGUCCCAAGGGUUCGGCUGUUCGCCGAUUAAAGUGGUACGCGAGCUGGGUUCAGAACGUCGCGAGACAGUUCGGUCCCUAUCUGUCGUGGGCGCAGGAUAUUUGAGGAGCUCUGUCCUUAGUACGAGAGGACCGGGAUGGACGUACCUCUGGUGCACCAGUUGUCAUGCCAAUGGCACGGCUGGGCAGCUAUGUACGGAACGGAUAAACGCUGAAAGCAUCUAAGCGUGAAGCCGACUCCAAGAUUAGAUAUCCCAUCGUAUAACGAGUAAGACCCCUUGAAGACUACGAGGUUGAUAGGCUGCGUGUGUAAGUGCCGUGAGGCAUUCAGCUUGGCAGUACUAAUAGGUCGAGGGCUUGACCA